RNAcentral lists this transfer RNA (76 nucleotides) under Allobosea sp. BK604. Its description in RNAcentral is "Bosea sp. BK604 tRNA-Arg". It matches the Rfam family "tRNA". Rfam says of the family: Transfer RNA (tRNA) molecules are approximately 80 nucleotides in length. Their secondary structure includes four short double-helical elements and three loops (D, anti-codon, and T loops). The record is from RNAcentral. Lineage: Bacteria; Pseudomonadati; Pseudomonadota; Alphaproteobacteria; Hyphomicrobiales; Alloboseaceae.
GCUUUCCUAGCUCAAUUGGAUAGAGCGCCAGAUUACGGAUCUGGAGGCUGGUUGGGUUCGAGUCCCCCGGAGAGCA